RNAcentral lists this transfer RNA (77 nucleotides) under Candidatus Margulisiibacteriota bacterium. RNAcentral's name for it is "tRNA-Ile". It matches the Rfam family "tRNA". From Rfam's summary of the family: Transfer RNA (tRNA) molecules are approximately 80 nucleotides in length. Their secondary structure includes four short double-helical elements and three loops (D, anti-codon, and T loops). The record is from RNAcentral. Lineage: Bacteria; Bacillati; Candidatus Margulisiibacteriota.
GGGCCCUUAGCUCAGCUGGUCAGAGCAACCGGCUCAUAACCGGUGGGUCGUAGGUUCAAGCCCUACAGGGCCCACCA